Molecule: ribosomal RNA, 497 nt
Filed under: uncultured bacterium
Lineage: Bacteria
Description: partial 16S ribosomal RNA
Rfam family: Bacterial small subunit ribosomal RNA
Source: RNAcentral
GAUGAACGCUGGCGGCGUGCCUAAUACAUGCAAGUCGAGCGAACAGACGAGGAGCUUGCUCCUCUGACGUUAGCGGCGGACGGGUGAGUAACACGUGGAUAACCUACCUAUAAGACGGGGAUAACUUCGGGAAACCGGAGCUAAUACCGGAUAAUAUAUUGAACCGCAGGGUUCAAUAGUGAAAGACGGUUUUGCUGUCACUUAUAGAUGGAUCCGCGCCGCAUUAGCUAGUUGGUAGGGUAACGGCUUACCAAGGCAACGAUGCGUAGCCGACCUGAGAGGAUGAUCGGCCACACUGGAACUGAGACACGGUCCAGACUCCUACGGGAGGCAGCAGUAGGGAAUCUUCCGCAAUGGGCGAAAGCUUGACGGAGCAACGCCGCGUGAGUGAUGAAGGUCUUCGGAUCGUAAAACUCCGUUAUUAGGGAAGAACAAAUGUGUAAGUAACUAUGCACGUCUUGACGGUACCUAAUCAGAAAGCCACGGCUAACUACGUG